GAUGAACGCUGGCGGCGUGCCUAAUACAUGCAAGUCGAACGAAACUUCUUUAUCACCGAGUGCUUGCACUCACCGAUAGAGAGUUGAGUGGCGAACGGGUGAGUAACACGUCGGCAACCUGCCCAAAAGAGGGGGAUAACACUUGGAAACAGGUGCUAAUCCCGCAUAACCAUAGUUACCGCAUGGUAACUAUGUAAAAGGUUGCUAUACUACCGCUUUUGGAUGGGCCCGCGGCGCAUUAGCUAGUUGGUAGGGUAAAGGCUUACCAAGGCAAUGAUGCGUAGACGAAUUGAGAGGUUGGUAGGCCACAUUGGGACUGAGACACGGCCCAAAGUCCUACGGGACGCAGCAGUAUGGAAUCUUCCACAGUGGGCGAAAGCCUGAUGGAGCAACGCCGAGUGGGUGAAGAAGGUCUUCGGAUCGUAAAACCCUGUUGUUAGAGAAGAAAGUGCGUGAGAGUAACUGUUCACGUUUCGACGGUAUCUAACCGGAAAGCCACGGCUAACUACGUG
Molecule: ribosomal RNA, 512 nt
Filed under: uncultured bacterium
Lineage: Bacteria
Description: partial 16S ribosomal RNA
Rfam family: Bacterial small subunit ribosomal RNA
Source: RNAcentral